RNAcentral lists this ribosomal RNA (224 nucleotides) under actinobacterium ACT3. RNAcentral describes it as "partial 16S ribosomal RNA". It matches the Rfam family "Bacterial small subunit ribosomal RNA", at positions 211 to 523 of the family's 1533-position model. The record is from RNAcentral. Lineage: Bacteria; Bacillati; Actinomycetota; Actinomycetes.
GGAGUGGUUGUUCGACUAUCCGGCGCCCGAGUAGGCGGGUAGCCGGCCUGAGAGGGCGACCGGCCACACUGGGACUGAGACACGGCCCAGACUCCUACGGGAGGCAGCAGUGGGGAAUAGGAUGACGGCCUUCGGGUUGUAAACCUCUUUCAGCAGGGAAGAAGCGAAAGUGACGGUACCUGCAGAAGAAGCGCCGGCUAACUACGUGCCAGCAGCCGCGGCCA